Long non-coding RNA from Tupaia belangeri chinensis (Chinese tree shrew), 1255 nucleotides. RefSeq lists it as uncharacterized. The transcript has 3 exons. The record is from RefSeq and is a predicted model, not a curated record. Lineage: Eukaryota; Metazoa; Chordata; Mammalia; Scandentia; Tupaiidae.
GUUGGGGCAGCUUCUAACGCAUGCGUGGAGCGCCCUUUACCACUCGCCUUUCCUCUCGGCUUUGCACGUCGGUUGCUGAGGCCUUGGGUUGGCGGAGACUAUGUAUUUCAGCAUGGGAAUUGACAUUCCAGUUCUAGAUCUGCAGCCAGAGAAACUUAAAAGAUACAUCCUAUUCUUUGAGACCUGUGAUACUGCAUAAUACCUAACAAGGCAAGUCCAUUUUCAAGGCACUUACCAGAAAGAAACACAGAGAGAGAGAAACUGAUAAAGUAAUUGUACUUUACUGCAAUUUGUUCUGGCUGAUUUGCUCAUCUCGGAGUCGGUGAAAAUUCUACCAGUAAAAGGAUCUUUUCUAAGAGUGCUGGCUCUUCACCUUUUCUCCUUAAUCCUGCUUUCUGCUACUGCCAGCUCUUCCAUCUGGAGAAUUGGAUCAAGUGAUAUGGGGAUGCUUCAAAAUAUUUGGAGAUAAUAAUAAGCAGAAGAAAAUGACUUCCUGUCCUACAGAGAGCUUCUAGAGUGGCAUAGUUGACUCUAGAAAGACGUAAGCAGCCCUUGCCCAGAUGCUAAAUUCAGUACCAUAAACAAACAAAAGAACUCCAUCAAACACUACCUUCAAGAAAAUCAAAGAACUCACAAUCGAUUUGGCGAUUCAUUUUCAAUUUUAAAAAUGCCUUUAAAGACACUCAGCUAAUUUCUCGCAUGUACUCUCAGAGUAACCUUUCCAAAUAUUUUGUGUUAUUAAACAUCUAGAAAUACAUGCUAUAGCUACCUGUAUUGCACAAACAGGUACUAAAAGAUACGCCGAUUUUGCCUGUCUGCGCAAUUAAAAUAAGUCACUGUCUGUAAUGUCAGUAAACACUAUCAUUCAUCCUCAUGUUGUCUCGUCCACAAUGGGUAGUCAGUAGCAGAUGGUCAAAAGGAAAGGACUCAGCCCAGUGUAUAAAGCAUAUCUUGAAUGAAUUUGAUACAAAUGAAAACUGCAGAUAAAAUCCAUGUUCCACUUGAAAAAUAUUACAUCCAGACUCUUGAACCCUCUACUUAUUUUUGGAACCUGAAUUCUCUAGUCUCCCACUCUACUCUGAGUUGCCAGAGUCAGGCAGGCAUAUUGGGGGAAACAGAAGAAGGAAGUGGGGACUAUGGCAAGAGAAAGGUUUUCAUGAAUGUGGGUUCUCAGGCUGAGCAGCUAGUUGCUCAGUACUUAUUACAGAGCAGCAGGGAAGACACAGACUGGAUACAUCCCCUUGUGUGUGUGGUU